RNAcentral lists this ribosomal RNA (927 nucleotides) under uncultured Bacteroidota bacterium. RNAcentral's name for it is "bacterial SSU rRNA". It matches the Rfam family "Bacterial small subunit ribosomal RNA", at positions 1 to 917 of the family's 1533-position model. The record is from RNAcentral. Lineage: Bacteria; Pseudomonadati; Bacteroidota.
UUGGAUCCAGACUUUGAUCCUGGCUCAGGAUGAACGCUAGCUACAGGCUUAACACAUGCAAGUCGAGGGGAAACGAUAUUGGAAGCUUGCUUCCGAUAGGCGUCGACCGGCGCACGGGUGAGUAACGCGUAUCCAACCUGCCCACCACUUGGGGAUAACCUUGCGAAAGUAAGACUAAUACCCAAUGAUAUCUCUAGAAGACAUCUGAAAGAGGUUAAAGAUUUAUCGGUGAUGGAUGGGGAUGCGUCUGAUUAGCUUGUUGGCGGGGUAACGGCCCACCAAGGCGACGAUCAGUAGGGGUUCUGAGAGGAAGGUCCCCCACAUUGGAACUGAGACACGGUCCAAACUCCUAUGGGAGGCAGCAGUGAGGAAUAUUGGUCAAUGGACGAGAGUCUGAACCAGCCAAGUAGCGUGCAGGAAGACGGCCCUAUGGGUUGUAAACUGCUUUUAUAGGGGAAUAAAGUUAGUCUCGUGAGACUUUUUGCAUGUACCUUAUGAAUAAGGACCGGCUAAUUCCGUGCCAGCAGCCGCGGUAAUACGGAAGGUCCGGGCGUUAUCCGGAUUUAUUGGGUUUAAAGGGAGCGUAGGCCGGAGAUUAAGCGUGUUGUGAAAUGUAGACGCUCAACGUCUGCACUGCAGCGCGAACUGGUUUCCCUGAGUACGCACAAAGUGGGCGGAAUUCGUGGUGUAGCGGUGAAAUGCUUAGAUAUCACGAAGAACUCCGAUUGCGAAGGCAGCUCACUGGAGCGCAACUGACGCUGAAGCUCGAAAGUGCGGGUAUCGAACAGGAUUAGAUACCCUGGUAGUCCGCACGGUAAACGAUGGAUGCCCGCUGUUGGUCUGAAUAGGUCAGCGGCCAAGCGAAAGCAUUAAGCAUCCCACCUGGGGAGUACGCCGGCAACGGUGCAACUCAAAGGAAUUGACGGA